CCUUAUUACGUCUCAGCUCCUCCUUUUAUUUUCUUGUCCAUCAGUUUUAUUUACAAUUCUAUCAACUCUUCCUAAAGUCAUAUAUUUUCUUUCUUCUUGAUUUUUAUUUUGCAGUUUUGGAGAACAUGAACAGUUCACAAUAAACUAUAUUAUUUUGUUGUACUCUAAUCUAUUUGGAAAUAUAAAAUAGAAGUGUUACUCCUCAUGUUUCUCCUUUAUUAAUUCCGGUGACAACUCCACCGACUCUUCUAUCAAUCACAUCCCUUCUCUCCUCCUCAUAAUUCUUAUCAUUUACUUCUUAAAAAGAUGAACAAUUCACAUGUUAAAAUGAAAUAUUUGGUGUAUUCUAUUCUAUUUGAAAAACAUAGAAUACAAAUAUUUAUCUUUCUUCUCUUUCUUUUCCAUCAACUUUGGUAACAACUUCACUAACUACUCAUUCCCCUCUUUCUCUUCAUCUUCCUCUUCGCGUUCCUCUUUCUUCGGAGCCAACUCUACCACUCCUCGUGCAUAUGUUUCUCGGUGCUAACUCUCAAACUUUUUAUAGCUGUUUUUUUUCUCGCAGCGAGUAAAAUUGGUUGUAGUGAUUAGGGAAAAAUUUCUAAAACGAGGAAUCGAAAGAGACCAAAGAAUAAUGAAAAUGCAAAAAUAUUUUGUUUCAUACUACAUGUCUAAUAAAUAUAGUAUAGUAUAAUUAAUAUAAUGCAUUUGUCAGACGUUCACGUGCAGAGAAGAAGAAAGUGGUCCAUAUUUGUGUCAAAUUGUCACAUCGAAAACUCUUCUUUAUUACAUGGUUAUUUGCUUGAUAUUUUUUCUCAAUAUAGACAUUCUACCAAUUCAACCUUAUUAAUAUACACAAUUCAUUUAUCACGUUUGGAAGUAGAGUACAUCAUUUGGUGAAAACAAAUAUGAAAAAUAUACUUGGAAUCAACAAUGAAGAUGGAGACAAAUGCAAUUAGAGUUGAUAGAGUCAAAGCCAUAACUCAAGGUUAGGAGUAAAAAAAUUCUUAUGAACUUGUGGGAAAGAUGUUAUUUACCAUUAGUUUCCAAUUAAAAUAAAGGGAAAAUUGUUUUUUUAAACAAAAAAAAUAGAUUCAUUGUCCCAUUAGGCUAAUCUUAUAUUAGAAUUGUCUCGUUAGGUUAAUAAUUUUCAAAACCCCAGUAAUACCCUUGGAUAAUCAAAUUAAGAAAUCAAUUAUGAAAUAUUAAAAAUGGGAAAAAUAAUUAAAACUAAUUAAAAUAGAAUAAAAAAUUAGAAACCUCCAAUCCCUUAUUUUGUCGAUCUCUUCAUCUCCAACAAUCUCUCUCUCGUAAGGCGACACAAGCUCUUGAUCUCGGUGGUGCGACGACGACAUGGUCAAGAUCUAGGCUAAUCCGGCCAAAGUCUCUUCUUCUUCGGUCACUGGAUUCCUUCAACCUUCUGCUCCGCCUAGAGUUUACAAUCCCCGCGCUCCUCAUUGCGCCCAUGGAUAUCAAACCGUUCCAGGCAUAGCUUCUCUUUACUGAGUUCGAUGUGCUGAUUCAGUUUUUACAGAUUUCAAUUUUAGUGAAAUUGAUGACUAUCAUGAAUUACUUCAAGAGGUUGCCGUAAGACCCACCUGCUGGAAUUAGCGGUGCUCCUCAAGACAACAACAUCAUGCUCUGUAAUGCUGUUAUAUUCGGGCCUGAUGAUUCACCAUGGGAUGGAGUUAAGGUUUUUGCUAUUGUAAUCACUUAUCUUUAGAUUUUAGUAAUAGUCAAUAUCUUUCCUUGUAUGAUUUUUUCUACGUACGUUCUACUUCCCUUUUACAUGGAUCUUUGAUCUCCAUUUUUAAGUGUUGGUGUUCUUGAUAGGACCACAUUGGCUGAACGAUCACUCUUUAAUUUUUAAAUCACAGCCAUUGCUCUGUGAUCCUAAUCCGAGUUCUCCUGCAAACUCGGAAGCUGCACGAAUGUUCAGCGAAAGCAAACGCGAGUACAACAGAUGAGUAUGCGAGUCUUGUGUUUGAUUCCACCAACACUUCUCCCUCUCCGUUUUUUUUUCAUCUUUUUGUGUUUUCAAAGUUUGUGAUUUGUUUCUCUUAUUGUUUCUGUGUUUCCAUGUAUUAUCUUAACCAUAUUCAUCUUUAUAAUGAUCAUUUGUAGAUUAAAAACACAGUUCUU
Long non-coding RNA from Brassica napus (rape), 2139 nucleotides. RefSeq lists it as uncharacterized. The record is from RefSeq and is a predicted model, not a curated record. The transcript is spliced from 2 exons. Lineage: Eukaryota; Viridiplantae; Streptophyta; Magnoliopsida; Brassicales; Brassicaceae.